Non-coding RNA from Odocoileus virginianus texanus, 1521 nucleotides. NCBI's taxonomy places the organism in Eukaryota, Metazoa, Chordata, Mammalia, Artiodactyla, Cervidae. The record is from RefSeq and is a predicted model, not a curated record.
CUGCAGUGUGGGGAACGGCUGGGGUUGGCCGAAGAGCGCACAGUGGAGUUUUAAUGUCUGCCGCGUUGGCCACGGCAUAUUGAGGAGAGCGAGCGAGAGAGGAGCGGAGCGUCUCUGCCUCCCACCUCCAGGCGGCUCUGAGCGCCCGGACGGCGACCUCCGCGCUCCGCCCCUCCAGUACCCGCAGCGGUGGGCGAGUGGGGACCGAACCCCCGGUUCUCCACGAUCCCGCUGGCCGGGGCCGUUUCCCCAGAGCGGAGAGGCGUCUGCCCCGCCUGAGAUGAGUAAACUGUCGUUUCGGGCGCGGGCGCUAGACGCCUCGAAGCCGCUGCCCGUUUUCCGCUGUGAGGAUCUGCCCGACCUGCACGAAUACGCCUGGAUAAGCCGGGCCGCGCCGCAGAUGCCCACCGGAAUGGAGAAGGAGGAGGGGUCACCUACCUGAGAAAUGGAACUUUCUGGCACUGCUCUGUGGAAUAUCAUCUGAUUCUGGGCAAUCAUUUUGAGACAGCUGACUGGGGUCAGAAGAGCAGUCUGUGACUGUGAAACUGAGCAGGUUUCAUUGGAACAAAGUGAUAGAAGGAUGGAGACGGAUCCAACUCAAACUUUACGUUUCCUGUAUAUCAUGGAGUCCAACCACCCACAAGUCACAAUCUCUCAGAAGACAGCAGAGAUGAGAUCACUCUCCAGGAGACACUUAAGCCACUCACAUAAUCACCUGCUGGUACAUUUUGGCUUGCUAAGCCUAAUUAGUUUGUGAAGAGUGCUAAUGAGGAUGGGCAUUUGCUUGUGUGGACAGGCUAAGGAUGGAUGGUCUAGCAUCCUUAAGUGGUCAAAGGAUAAGAUGGUGAUGGUUAGAAGAACCAAGAUGUCAUAGGGGCCAGACUGCUCAAUAUUAUUGAGGAAUGCCAACAUCAAGAAUUCUGCAGAACACAGAAAAUGUGAUUGUCUCCUCUGUUCCUUAAAGACGCUUAAGGAAUCUCAGAGCAGAGUUUCCAUGCAAUUCCCACUAAAUAACCUUGAUCCUAAGUGGAGUCAGCUAGAACACCCUGGUACUUCAACAUAAAAAAGUCACUGGAGAUGGUAUGCCACGUUAACCACAGACAUCAUUUUUUAAUUCUAAAAGAUGCUCUGGAAAAGCAGUGAAGCAAUGUAGACUCACUUCUAGAGUGUAGAUCACUGAUUAGUGACUUUAUGAUCAGGCUUCAUUCCAACCCUGGGAGAGUAUUAGAGCUAACAGGUUGUCUUCAAAUUGGACUCAGAAAAUUUAGUUUUCUCCUCCAUCUCUAACUGUGAUUCCUGAGGGGUGAUAGAGUGAAAUAACAAAGUCACUCUGUUGAUGAAAGAUAUCCAAUAGCUUCCCUUUCUUCAGGUUUUGUCUUUGACCUUGGCACUUUGUGUUUGUAAUUUGUACUUCUCCCUAGCUAACGCGGACAUGUCCUUCCAUGUCCUCCUCCUCCAGGAGUACAUGAGCAACAUAACUUAUGUUAGCAUGGAUGCCUUGGCAUUCUGUUCUGAUUCUCA